Cricetulus griseus (Chinese hamster) is the source of this 4217-nucleotide non-coding RNA. The record is from RefSeq and is a predicted model, not a curated record. Lineage: Eukaryota; Metazoa; Chordata; Mammalia; Rodentia; Cricetidae.
AUGAGUCACUUCCUGCCUGGAUCUUUUACUACAUUUCCCAGAAUCCUCCUUGACUUCUAGUCCCACCUAUCUUGCUUCCUCAAAUAAAGGCCAAGUAGUACUUUAUUUAUUAACCAAUAAAAGAGACAUAUGCAGAAAGACGUCCCCCAUCAACACUAUAUUUAUAUGAAGCUGCAAUGCUGUAUCAGGUGGUUCAGGGAUCCAGUAUGGAUCACUUAAAUACAAUUUUGAGGGAAUCUCACAUAUCUGCUUACAAUGAUGGAUUUCUAAAGACAUUCAGUGAUUCUGUCUCCUGAAAAUUAUGAGAUGUUAAGAACUGAAAUACAAACAAACAAACCUUUAGAGAUAGCACACAAUUUUUUUUCACACAAAGGCAAAGAGACCAGUAAAGCUCUUUACAUCACUAGUAAGUGGCAACAUCAGGGCCUGAGCUAAGCCUGUGAGAUGCACUCCAGGGCACCACUCACAUCACAGGAUCAUGUUUAUUAUGAACUCUUCAGGGUAGUCUGGCAAUCUGUAGACACGAGGAAGAGCAGAUACUGCCGUCUCGAGCCGGAAGACAUCUUCCUCUUCAAAGCAUCUCAUACUUUCUAUUGAGAUGCCUCCGAGUGCUUGUGCCCACUCACGUAGCAAAGGGCAACCUGAUCUCCCCCAAAUCUACUGAUUUCAAUGCUAGUCACACCUUUAAAAAAUACCUCACAGCCCUAUCUAUGUGUGCUUGACCAAAUAAAUAGGCACAUGGCCUACCAGACACAAAAUUAGCUAUCAUUAACCCUUCCUCAAUCCACACAGAAAAACAAAGAAUUUAUAUGUCAGAUUUUCAUUUGGGCUCAUUCCAUGCUUUGACACAUGUUGUUAAAGGCUUCAACUCCCACUUAACACUAGAUUUCAUAAGACAUGAAUAUCAUCUCACUCAACAUUUGUUGGAUCAUAAGAAAUUGGAUUUGUAGUUCCUUCUGGUCUGCAAAAUAUGGUUCAUGAGUAUAUCUUGUAUAAUCUUCACAAGUCACUUUAGUAGCACAAAUUUGAGCAGAAACAAGGCUAAGACUGUCACAUUAACAGGUAAUAAUCAAGAAGGAUCAGAUCCCCUGCCUCAGUGCCAUUGCUCAUCAAGGGCUAGGACAAGAAGUACCAGGUACUCAAAGACAGCAGAGGUCUUGUCAUUUCUAAAUCAAUCUACACCUGCAUGCAAGUUCAGAAUUAAUCACUGUCCACAAGUAGUGUUUAGGGCUUUUCAAAACUGUUUACUCAAUACUAAGUUUACACCUCAGAGAAUUUUCAUAAAAUUUCAUAAAAUUGUUACCAACAUGAAGAUAUGGGACAUGAUGGGGGUUGUCCUUCUGUAUGUAUGUUUCUCUUAUUGGUUGAUGACUAAAACACUGAUUGGCCAGUAGCCAGACAGGAAGCAUAGGCAGGGCUAUCAGACCAGAAGAAGGCUAGGGAGAGGAAGGCAGAUGGGAGCCACCAGAGAGACGCCAUGUAGACACAGAAGAGUAACAUGCCAGGGUAUUACUGGGUAAGUCAAGAGCACAUGGAAAUUAAUUAGAUUAAUAAAUUAAAUUAAUCAGAUUAAUAGAAAUGGGUUAAUAAAUAAGAGACAGCUAGCCAGUAAGAAGCCCUAGGCAUCAGCCAAACAGUUUAUAAAUUAAUACAAGUCUUUGUGAGUUUAUUUGGGGCUAAUCGGCUGCGGGACCAGGCAGAACAGAAACUUUCAUCUACAGGGACAUGAUGGUCACCUCAGAAGCCCCUGCACCAAUGCCCACACCCUAGUCACCAUCUUUCAUAUAAAGUGAACUGAAGUCUACUCAGAUCUUCCCAACUCUGUAAAAAUGAAAUUCUCCUGCAUGUAGGUUUUUGGAUGUGGCAUCCUGAGUGGCAGAUUAUAUUUAUGAGAUUAAUUUAUUUGUUUGUUCAGUUCUGUUAUGUUGUAUAGCAGCCAACAGUAUAAAUUAAACACUGUUUAUUUAUUUGAUUAUCCAGUCAGCAAUUUGAAUGUUUUCCAGUUGGGGAGUUCUGAGAGUUGCUUCCAACAACCUCCCAUACAUAUUAUGGUUUUCCUAUGCAUGUGUCCUGUUCAGUGCCCAGACAUGAACUACUGGGUCAUACAUGUGCACACAUUCAGCUUUACUGGAAACUGCCAAAUAGCUUCCAAACAUGACUGUACCAAUUUGCACAACCUCAGUCAUUGGUGAGAUCUUUUGUUCUAGUUAAUGUCUCUGUGCAAUGUUAUACUUUACAUAAGUCAAUCUACAACACUAUAAAGUCUGCUUUCAAAACUUCAUAGGAAUUUUGCCAUGCUGAAGAUUUUUUGAGAUUUAUAACUGUUCAGAUAUAUAGUUUUAAUUUGUCUUUCACCACUAUACAACAUUCCAAUGUCUGAAAUCUGAAUCCUAUUGAUAAUCAUUGAGGUGACAUCUAUUUUUUCUCUAUUAUAGACAAUGACUAUAACUACUCUUUGGCCCAUGUGUGAGAAUUUCUCAGUAAUAUAAAUAGUAUACCUUCAGUUAUAUUAGAGAACUUCAAAUUGUUUUCUUUUGGGGUGGAGUUGGAAAAGAGUCUUUAUAUAUUGCCCUGGCUUGCCUCAAAUUUGUGAUCCUUCCCCUCAGCCUCCAGAAUAUGUGGGAUUAUAGUGUGUGUCAAAAAACACUGCUCAAAAAUUGCUUUCUGACAUGACUGCACUGACUUCCUUUACUACAGAUGGGCCCUGAGGAUGUCUGUUACUCCUGAGCCUUGCCAACAACUGGUAUAGUUAUGUUUUCCUACUGUUAAUCAGAUGAAUAUGUAAUGCUGUUUUUUGUUUUGUUUUUGAUUGUUUGUUUGUUUGUUUUUGAGACAGGGUUUCUCUGUGUAGCCCUGGCUGUCUUGGAACUCACUCUGUAGACGAGGCUGACCUCAAACUCAUAGGGAUUUGCCUGCCUCUGCCUCCCGAGUGCUGGGGUUAAAUGUGUAUGCCACCAUCACCUGGAAAGUAUAUAAUACUCUUAAUAACUAUUAUGAAUGUUUUCCAAAUACUUAAAUUUAUGAACAGGAAAACAGUUUCACCUCUGUUUCCAUAGCACUGUGUUCCUGUAAUCUUGAUGUUCUUCAUCUAAGUAGGACCCAAGAACCUGAAUGGCCAUGCUCAGGAAUGUCUAGAGCCUCUCUGCAGGGGAAGGUGCCCAGAGUACUUUGUAUGUAGUUGUGAUAACUGGUAGGGAAGUUAGCUCAUGUGUACUUACCUAUGUUACCUUCUCCCCAGCUAGAACAUGGGUUUCUGGAUUGAAAGAGACAGUGUCUAUGAAUAGUUUUAUAUUUCUGGAGCCCAGGCCAUCAUGGACUCAAUAAGUAUUCAAGGAUGUAGGGAAGAAAAGGAAAGAAUUAACACACACACUUCUUCUAUUCAAGCAUUUAUGUAUCUAGAAACAUAAGUAAGGCUUAUUUAUUGAAAUGCAAACCACACAUAUGUUCUUUUGGAUUAACUGUUAGGUGAUUUGAUAAUAUGUCUUCAAUUUUCAACUUGGACUAAUGGCAUGCCAGUACCCACUCUUUUAUAGCAUUUUCUAUAAAGAGGAAAACUCACCGAAAACCUUCAAGCACAUACUAAGGGUAUGGACAAACAUGAAACUGAUAUCAAAGCCUCCAGAACACUGCAGAAUAAAUGUCUACUGAAGCCACCCAAGCUAUAGCAGCCCAUCCCAACAGCACAGCUGAGAGAGCGCUGCAGACCAGCCACCCAGGUUUUCCUGGGCACAUGCCACUCUCUAAAUGCUUCUCUGGGGUUGUAGUUAAAGCAUCAAUAAAUCAGAUGAAGUUUGAUUUACAUGUGAUUUUUAUUCUCUUGGGGGACAUCUGCCACAGACCAUAAGUAAGCAAGCAAAUGAUCAAGCGAACACUAGCAAAGGAUGCUCUCUGAAGAGGGAACAUUUGAGACGAGCAGCAAGGAGAAGCAAGAAGACAGUCUACUGGAAAAACAACUCAAGCACUAGGAAAUGGAGAAUCCCACUCCUGCCAUGACCAGCCACAGUCUGUUUAGGAGACUUUACCAGAGGAUCUAAGCAGCCAGUGUGAUGCAAAGUCCAUGUGUGUCAUGCCUGACAAUACUUCUUGCACCAGUUCUUUUGCAAGCUGCAAUUCAGGUUCAAGCCUUCAGUAUUGAACUCAUUUGCAGCAGACACCAUCACUUUCUUCCUCUAGACCUUGCUUAAAAAAAAUAAAGCUUUGUUUUUGUUCCUUGGUUA